This is a long non-coding RNA of Apis cerana (Asiatic honeybee), 1853 nucleotides long. RefSeq lists it as uncharacterized. The record is from RefSeq and is a predicted model, not a curated record. NCBI's taxonomy places the organism in Eukaryota, Metazoa, Arthropoda, Insecta, Hymenoptera, Apidae.
UUAAAACAUAUAUUUUCACGAUAAUUAAAGCAUAUUAUAAAAUACAAUAUUUCAAUUUUUUAUGCGAUUUUGAAAGAAAAAAAAAAUGGCGCAAUUCUAGCCAAUCAGAAAGUUAUUGUUUUUAUUGUACAUGAAAUUAAUUAUUAGGACAUAUAUAAGUAACUAUUGGAAUAUAUAUAACGCAAUACAUCAAUUUUCACGCGGUUUCAAAACAAUAAUAAACCGUACAGGUCGAGCUAAUCGGAAAUCAUUCUCUACAUAUGGCGUCAGUCUAUUAUUGAAAAUCGUAGCGAGCGGAUGUAUUACAUUUGUAGAAGUAUAUAAUUGAGAAAAUUUUUAUUAACAAGGUAUUUUAUUAUAAUUUAUAUAUUAUUACUAGUAUAAUAAAGUUUGUUUAAUUAAUAAUAUGAAUUUGUUUAAUUUAUUAAACAUUAAUAUAUCAAAAUUAAAUAAUCUUUUAAAUUUUUUUUCGUUUUACAAUAUUAGCAAUAAUUUGUAUUAUAAAGUUUGUAUUAUAAAAUUUGUAUUUUAAAUCAGAUUUAAAUUAUCGUUAUAUUAAUUUAAUAUAAUUUUUAUUUUAAAUAUAUAGUUUACGGUUUUAAUUUUUAUUUAUGCAAAUUAUCGUUUGAUCAUUAAGAUAAUUUCGAAAAUAUAAUAAUUUAUCCAUAAGAUUAAAAGACAAUUUGAUAAAUUUUAUGCAAAUAUAAUAAGAUAUUCGUAUAAGUUAUUUUCGUAAAAGUUGUAAUUAUUAUAAAGUUUUUAAUUUUUUUAUAAAAGUGACGAUAAAUCAUUGUAGAUGAUAGAUUUGUUUUCGCAAUAGCUCAUUUUGCAUAAUGAUAAAAAAUUUGAAUGUGUAAAUGCACACAAAAAAAAGAAUUUAUUUGAAAAUAAAUAGAUUUUUUUCGUUAAAAUAGAUGAUAUAAUCUCCAAUCUGCAAUAAUUUCUACAAGAUGAAAUCAUUAUUAUUCAUAAUCAUUUCCUUAAUACAAUUAUAAAUUGUAAACUAAAUAAUAUAAAUUAGUUCGUUGCAUACAUAAUUAAAAAAUAAAACAAUCGUAUAAAAAAACAAUCAUAUAAUAUAAUUUAUUACUUGUAGAUAAGUUAUCCAUUAGCUGACCGACUGUCGAUUGUAGCUAAAAAACUUACCGACAUAACUUUCGGAAUAAAACAUUAUGCGUAUUUUAAAAUAUUCACAAAUAUACAUUUUUAGAAUGUCUACAUAUAAAAUGUAUAUUUUAAAUGUAAUUUGUAUAAGAAAUCAUAUAGUUUCGAUAUGCCUAAACAAUAAGAUGGUCAUAGAAAUUGUGCUUUUUUCUAUUAAGUAAAUAUAGCUCAAUGGAUAAGAAUAAUAGGUAUCCGUCGGUAUCGAUAUAACAUCGUAUAUAAUUACUUAUAAAUUUUGAUUGAAUAUUUUAAUAUAAAAUAUUUAUUGUUGUUAAUUUAUUAAAAUUACCAUUUUUAGAGUAUUUUUACAUAUCGUAAAAAAGCUAUAAUUGUUGAUUUAAACAAUUUGUAUAUAAAUUUUUUUUAUUUGCUUUAUAUGUAAUAACAAUUUAUUUUUAAUUUUUUUAUUGAACAAAAGUGUCAUAGAUAGUUUAAAUAUAGUAAUUUAUCUGCAUUCACAGUUUCAUUUAGUUCUAAUUUUAAUCACUACGAAUAUUAUAAUCUCAUUUUGUACUGAAUCGGUAAAGUUGAAAAUGACACUAAAAUGAUAAAGCGAUUUUCUGGAAUUUUUUGACAUAGAAAAACAUAGUACAUACAUUUUAUAUUUCGUAAUGUUUAUUAGAAUAUUAUUAAUUAUUUUUAUUUUUAUCAAUUAUUUUUAUUGUAUUAAAUUAUAUAAAUUAUACAAA